CCCUUAGAUGUUCUGGGCCGCACGCGCGCUACACUGAUGAAUUCAACGAGCUCCUAACCUAGGCCGAAGGGUCCGGGUAAUCUCUGAAAUUUCAUCGUGAUGGGGAUAGAUUAUUGCAAUUAUUAAUCUUCAACGAGGAAUUCCUAGUAAGCGCGAGUCAUCAGCUCGCGUUGAUUACGUCCCUGCCCUUUGUACACACCGCCCGUCGCUCCUACCGAUUGAAUGGUCCGGUGAAAUGUUCGGACCGCGACAAGGCGGACGGUUCGCUGUCAGCUUUGCUGCGGGAAGUUCAUUAAACCUUAUCAUUUAGAGGAAGGAGAANUCGUANCA
Molecule: ribosomal RNA, 330 nt
Filed under: uncultured eukaryote
Lineage: Eukaryota
Description: partial 18S ribosomal RNA
Rfam family: Eukaryotic small subunit ribosomal RNA
Source: RNAcentral